AAUCAACGCUGGCGGCGUGCCUCAGACAUGCAAGUCGAACGAUUAAAGCUCCCUUCGGGGAGUGCAUAGAGUGGCGCACGGGUGAGUAACACGUAAGUAAUCUACCUUUGAGUGGGGAAUAACGUUCGGAACGGACGCUAAUACCGCAUAAUGCAGCGGCAUCGCAAGAUGACAGUUGUUAAAGGAGCAAUCCGCUUAAAGAGGAGCUUGCGGCAGACUAGCUUGUUGGUAAGGUAACGGCUUACCAAGGCUACGAUCUGUAUCCGGUCUAAGAGGACGGUCGGACACACUGACACUGAAUAACGGGUCAGACUCCUACGGGAGGCAGCAGUCGGGAAUUUUGGGCAAUGGGCGAAAGCCUGACCCAGCAACGCCGCGUGAAGG
This 384-nucleotide ribosomal RNA is filed under the name uncultured bacterium. RNAcentral describes it as "bacterial SSU rRNA". It matches the Rfam family "Bacterial small subunit ribosomal RNA", at positions 32 to 407 of the family's 1533-position model. The record is from RNAcentral.